CGAAGGGGCGUAGCGUUGUUCGGAAUUACUGGGGCGUAAAGCGCACGUAGGCGGAUAUUUAAGUCAGGGGUGGAAAUACCCAGAGCUCAACUCUGGAACUGCCUUUGAUACUGGGUAUCUUGAGUAUGGAAGAGGUGAGUGGAAUUGCGAGUGUAGAGGUGAAUUCGUAGAUAUUCGCAGGAACACCAGUGGCGAAGGCGGCUCACUGGUCCAUAACUGACGCUGAGGUGCGAAAGCGUGGGGAGCAAACAGGAUU
This 256-nucleotide ribosomal RNA is filed under the name uncultured bacterium. RNAcentral describes it as "partial 16S ribosomal RNA". It matches the Rfam family "Bacterial small subunit ribosomal RNA", at positions 526 to 779 of the family's 1533-position model. The record is from RNAcentral.